GCGGGUAUAGCAUAGUGGUAAUGCGUCAGCCUUCCAAGCUGAUGAGAGGGGUUCGAUUCCCCUUACCCGCUCCA
RNAcentral lists this transfer RNA (74 nucleotides) under Pseudomonadaceae bacterium. Its description in RNAcentral is "tRNA-Gly". It matches the Rfam family "tRNA". From Rfam's summary of the family: Transfer RNA (tRNA) molecules are approximately 80 nucleotides in length. The record is from RNAcentral. Lineage: Bacteria; Pseudomonadati; Pseudomonadota; Gammaproteobacteria; Pseudomonadales; Pseudomonadaceae.